GACCCCUCCGCCUCGGGGAAGGUCGGAGAAAAGGCUUGGAGUCAGGUCACCAAGGCGGCCCCCGGUGGAGUUGAGGGCAGCCAAGAGCAAGGCCAUGGCAAGGCACCGCAGCCGCAGCCGCCCACGGCCUCGGCGGUCUCGCAGCGGCACUCGGCAGCGGUCGGAGGACAGGAGUCAGCAGAGACAGCCUCGC
RNAcentral lists this non-coding RNA (193 nucleotides) under Scrippsiella hangoei. The record is from RNAcentral. Lineage: Eukaryota; Dinophyceae; Peridiniales; Peridiniaceae.